GCAGAUCCAAUAAAUGAUUUAACCACAGCUAAGGUUUGUUUCCCAUAGGUUAUCCUCAAAAAAAGAAUUUGAAAGAUACUGAAUUUGUAUCAAGUUCAAAUAAACGAGAAGAACAUUUGUCUAAACUAUUUGGAGCCCCGUGUCUCUGAAUCCCCAGGCUCCUGACCUGUGUGGAAGGGGAGUGAGUGAGUGUGAAGAUGGGUGUCUGGUUUGGGGUUUGGGAGGAUCGGAUCAUCCCCCAAAGGCCUACUGACCUGCCCAGCACCAUGUCAGUGUUGGCCUUGGCAUUGGUGGGCCACCAAUAAAUUUCCAGCUUCUCUCUGAGCAACAACUCAGGAAUUUACAGGUCAACACGUCUAUCAAGGAAGGGCUGGUGACAUGAGGGCAAAGGCUGAGUACCUCUGUCGGAUAGGUGACAAGAUGAAAUUCUACAGCAAGUGUUUCACAAGGUUCCGUAUGAGACUCCAGUUGAUGAAGCCAGAACAGCAGGCAAAUCAAUCACAAAGAGAGACAUGAAUUCAGAAAAUUUCAUCAAAGGAGCCAGUGUUGCUGGGUAUUCUACUGCACCAGGGUUUCUCCUUGGCAGCGUGGACAGAAUUUCUACUGAUGGUAAGUAAUACCUCAUUCUUCCUUGUGCCUGAGUUUAGAACCAAAUGUGAGACUGAGCUAAGGAUCCUGCAGAUGGAGCUCAGACUAUGUUCUCUAGAAAACUUGGCUGGAUAAUGUGGGUGCUUCAUAUUAGGAAGAGUGCCUAAUCA
This 758-nucleotide long non-coding RNA is filed under the name Ursus maritimus (polar bear). RNAcentral's name for it is "lncRNA (ENSUMAG00000011690.1)". The record is from RNAcentral. Lineage: Eukaryota; Metazoa; Chordata; Mammalia; Carnivora; Ursidae.